This 311-nucleotide small nuclear RNA is filed under the name Spermophilus dauricus (Daurian ground squirrel). Its description in RNAcentral is "7SK RNA (ENSSDAG00000000917.1)". It matches the Rfam family "7SK RNA". From Rfam's summary of the family: 7SK was discovered as an abundant small nuclear RNA in the mid-70s but a possible function has only recently been suggested. Two independent studies have found that 7SK RNA binds the CDK9/cyclin T complex (known as elongation factor P-TEFb). Lineage: Eukaryota; Metazoa; Chordata; Mammalia; Rodentia; Sciuridae. The record is from Rfam by way of RNAcentral.
GGAUGCAAGGGCAAUUCAGCCUGCAAACCUGCCACCCAUUGAUUUCCAGGGUCCACUUGGCCCAUCUGGCUGACCAGGAAGGUGUCUCCUUCCUCUCUCAGGGGCCAUGUGUAUACUUUCCCAAGUUGUGAGUUCUGUGGAAGAGGAGGACAUUCCUCGAUAGAGGAGGACCAUUCUCCAGUGAAGGAUAUAUGGGCUGCUGUGCAUCUACCCCGCCACUACAGGUAUCAACCAGCUCUCAAGUUUCAUAAAAUGUGGGUAAUAAUAAUCACCUUACUAGUUAGCUCUAUGAAUUAAAUGUGUUCACACAU